GACGAACGCUGGCGGCGUGCCUAAUACAUGCGAGUAGAACGCUGAAGGAGGAGCUUGCUUCUCUGGAUGAGUUGCGAACGGGUGAGUAACGCGUAGGUAACCUGCCUGGUAGCGGGGGAUAACUAUUGGAAACGAUAGCUAAUACCGCAUAAGAGUAGAUGUUGCAUGACAUUUGCUUAAAAGGUGCAAUUGCAUCACUACCAGAUGGACCUGCGUUGUAUUAGCUAGUUGGUGAGGUAACGGCUCACCAAGGCAACGAUACAUAGCCGACCUGAGAGGGUGAUCGGCCACACUGGGACUGAGACACGGCCCAGACUCCUACGGGAGGCAGCAGUAGGGAAUCUUCGGCAAUGGACGGAAGUCUGACCGAGCAACGCCGCGUGAGUGAAGAAGGUUUUCGGAUCGUAAAGCUCUGUUGUAAGAGAAGAACGAGUGUGAGAGUGGAAAGUUCACACUGUGACGGUAUCUUACCAGAAAGGGACGGCUAACUACGUG
RNAcentral lists this ribosomal RNA (495 nucleotides) under uncultured bacterium. Its description in RNAcentral is "partial 16S ribosomal RNA". It matches the Rfam family "Bacterial small subunit ribosomal RNA", at positions 28 to 507 of the family's 1533-position model. The record is from RNAcentral.